Molecule: ribosomal RNA, 483 nt
Filed under: uncultured bacterium
Lineage: Bacteria
Description: partial 16S ribosomal RNA
Rfam family: Bacterial small subunit ribosomal RNA
Source: RNAcentral
GACGAACGCUGGCGGCGUGCUUAACACAUGCAAGUCGAACGAUGAAGCCGGAGCUUGCUCUGGUGAAUUAGUGGCGAACGGGUGAGUAACACGUGAGUAACCUGCCCUUGACUCUGGGAUAACUGCGGGAAACUGUAGCUAAUACCGGAUACGACCCUCGGAGGCAUCUCCUGGGGGUGGAAAGAAUUUCGGUCAAGGAUGGACUCGCGGCCUAUCAGCUAGUUGGUGAGGGAAAGGCUCACCAAGGCGACGACGGGUAGCCGGCCUGAGAGGUGACCGGCCACACUGGGACUGAGACACGGCCCAGACUCCUACGGGAGGCAGCAGUGGGGAAUAUUGCACAAUGGGCGCAAGCCUGAUGCAGCAACGCCGCGUGAGGGAUGACGGCCUUCGGGUUGUAAACCUCUUUUAGCAGGGAAGAAGCGAAAGUGACGGUACCUGCAGAAAAAGCACCGGCUAACUACGUGCCAGCCGCCGCAGUAA